RNAcentral lists this ribosomal RNA (439 nucleotides) under uncultured bacterium. RNAcentral describes it as "partial 16S ribosomal RNA". It matches the Rfam family "Bacterial small subunit ribosomal RNA", at positions 339 to 795 of the family's 1533-position model. The record is from RNAcentral.
CUACGGGUUGCAGCAGUGGGGAAUAUUGCACAAUGGGCGAAAGCCUGAUGCAGCAACGCCGCGUGAGCGAUGAAGGCCUUCGGGUCGUAAAGCUCUGUCCUCAAGGAAGAAUUUUGACGGUACUUGAGGAGGAAGCCCCGGCUAACUACGUGCCAGCAGCCGCGGUAAUACGUAGGGGGCUAGCGUUAUCCGGAAUUACUGGGCGUAAAGGGUGCGUAGGUGGUCUGACAAGUCAGGGGUGAAAGGCUACGGCUCAACCGUAGUCAGCCCUUGAAACUGUCGGACUUGAGUGCAGGAGAGGAAAGUGGAAUUCCCAAUGUAGCGGUGAAAUGCGUAGAUAUUGGGAGGAACAUCAGUGGCGAAGGCGACUUUCUGGACUGUAACUGACACUGAGGCACGAAAGCGUGGGGAGCAAACAGGAUUAGAUACCCCAGUAGUC